AAAAAAAAAUUGUAAGAUGCCUAUUUCAAAGAGGAAAAAUAAUUGGGGAUGGUGUUUCAUGGUGGGGAUUACGAUGCUUGCGUGCAGGUAUAUUUAUCUUGGGCUAUUCGACAGUAAAGUAGAAGCAGCAAGGUCCUAGUGAUCAUGAAUUACUCUACCUGAUACUGAAUUUAUUACCCUGAAUUCUCAACCUCAAUAGGGUUCUAUCCAACACUUGUCUACCUUUUGAUUUUUUCUGGAAAUCAGGGCUUAUGACAAGGCAGCUAUCAAAAGUAAUGGACGGGAGGCAGUCACUAACUUUGAGCUGAGUACAUAUGAAGGGGAGAUGGUCUUUGAUACCAGGAACAAAGGUAUUAUUUGCUACCAUCACUUAUUCAGUCCGUGAUGUUGAAAAUAAUCUUGAAAUCAGGGUUACUUUACAAAGAAACUUCUGUGAUAACAGCUCCUGCUAACUUGUCUUUUUGAACUCUCUUUAUGCAGGCAAUAGUCACAACCUUGAUCUGAACCUGGGGAUAUCUCUGCCUGUUAGCAAUGGUCCCAAGGAAAAGGAAAAUGCGAGGCAUCUCCAAAUGAAUAACGGAAAGAGUUUAAGGGUAACUUUUGAAUCGAAUUAUUUUGAAUUUACUUGUAUGUUUCAUCACAUUGGUAAUCUUGUUCUUCAACGUACUAUUGAAUAUUGAUGUCCUGCAUGAGCAUUAGGAAGAGGUGGUGUUAAUCUGUUAGCCUUAGCUGAUCUUGAAGCACCAUAUGUGGCAUGUUUGGAUGACAAUUGAACAUCUUGACUUAGUUUAACUCGAUAAAGGUAUUGAUCAUGUUCUCUAUGAUUUACUUCUGCAGGCAGAGAACCCUGCAGCUGCAACAUUUAGUGUUCCAUCUUUCCAAGGGUUAGCGGGGACUUCAGAUCAGCCUAUUUUCUGGAAUAGUGCAUAUCCGAGAUUCUUUCCUAGUGAGGUACACCUCAUCGCUUAGCUUCUAAAUCAUUAAACAUUGUUCAAUCCUUUCAUCAUUAGGACUUUACACCAAAAAAAAAACUGCUCACGUCCUCACCGCGAUAAUUUCCUAUUACUUGGUAAAUCAACCCAUGUUGUUAUAGUUGAGUUGAUUCUGCCAUAACUUUGCUGCUGAUGUGAACUUAUUUUCAUGUGCAAUGAACGGUGUUUAAUAUUCUCUAUUAGGACUUGAAAGUUUGAAGGGUUUUAGUCGUAGAUUGGAAUAUUUAUUAAUGGAAAACAUGCUCAUAUAAUAUGUCAUUAGCUAUAUUUUCAGGAUCCAUAUAUAUAUACACACACAUCAUAAUCUCAAUAAUAUCGUGUUUUUUUUUAUGAGCAAGAUGUUAACAUGCCAGAUGCCACCUACUAAAAGAAGCAAAAAAUGGACAAGAUGAUAACGCAAUUUUGAUUUGUUUUUUCCAGGAAAGAACAAUGGUGAAACCGGUUGAAUUCGAUCCUCCACAACGUGUCCCUGAUUGGCCGUGGCAAAUGCACGGUCAGGUCAGUACUACACUAAUGCCACUGUUCUCUCAUGCAGCAUCAUCAAGAUUCUCAUUCUCAGCUACCCCUCCUUCAACCGCCACUGCCAUUCUUCCAUCCAAACCUCAAAACACAACAGCAGUCCACAGUCUAUGUUUUGCUGCCUCAACCAGUAACACCAUCAACACCCCUCAACAUAGUCGGUCGUAAGUUCAAUUGUACCAC
This 1694-nucleotide long non-coding RNA is filed under the name Gossypium barbadense (sea-island cotton). Its description in RNAcentral is "long non-coding RNA (GBAR_LNC015109)". The record is from RNAcentral. Lineage: Eukaryota; Viridiplantae; Streptophyta; Magnoliopsida; Malvales; Malvaceae.